CUCACUUGGUAAUAUAGAUGCUUUAUUUGGUUUGCUUGAUCGUUUUCCUGAUUGAGAUCUGUUUUGGUUGUAGUUCUUAUCAAUGAGACUUGCUGCGGUUAACCCGAGAGUUGAUUUCAACCUCGAAAGUCUUUUUGCAGCAGAACGGAGUGGUUCCCAUGUGGAGAGUAACUUACAAGACAUGGUUGUGCCGCCUAUCUGGGCUGAGGGACAAAGCAGCGGAAACAGAAACCAAUAUCAACAUCUAUGGCUUAUUGAAGGGUUCCAUCAGCCUGCCUGGGGAAGGUUAGAAGACAAUUCUAGCUUUGUUACACCAGAGAACUCGCUGUUGACAUAUGAUUCCUCAGCAAAUUCAGCAUCUUUACAUCCAAAUCAGCUGAAAAUGGAGCUAUGAAAGAAGAAGCAAUUCUUUUACUAGUGAUUAGCUGUAUAUAUAUCGGACAUAUUAGUUGGUAGCAGCUGGUGCGAGAGAAGAGAGUUAUCAAGAAUUGAGAUUUUGGGUUUCACCUUCUUCUAAUCAAACAGCAAGGAGGAACUCCAGUUUGAUCUCCGCUAGAGAGGGAGAAAAUUACGCGUAUCCCUUAUUUCUAUUUAUAUAUAACAUAUAUGUACGCAGAAAGAUCUGUCUAUACGAACAUAGGGUCAUUCACUCAAUCUGAUACUUGGUACGCCAGAUGAUUGAUUGAUUGAUUCGUAGUUGUAAAACAAGAACAAGAACAAACUAGUGGUGACUAUCACAUUGUUAAGCAGGCAAGG
RNAcentral lists this unclassified non-coding RNA (756 nucleotides) under Hevea brasiliensis (rubber tree). The record is from RNAcentral. Lineage: Eukaryota; Viridiplantae; Streptophyta; Magnoliopsida; Malpighiales; Euphorbiaceae.